This 434-nucleotide ribosomal RNA is filed under the name uncultured Lachnospiraceae bacterium. RNAcentral's name for it is "partial 16S ribosomal RNA". It matches the Rfam family "Bacterial small subunit ribosomal RNA", at positions 341 to 792 of the family's 1533-position model. Lineage: Bacteria; Bacillati; Bacillota; Clostridia; Lachnospirales; Lachnospiraceae. The record is from RNAcentral.
ACGGGAGGCAGCAGUGGGGAAUAUUGCACAAUGGGGGAAACCCUGAUGCAGCGACGCCGCGUGAAGGAAGAAGUAUCUCGGUAUGUAAACUUCUAUCAGCAGGGAAGAUAAUGACGGUACCUGACUAAGAAGCCCCGGCUAACUACGUGCCAGCAGCCGCGGUAAUACGUAGGGGGCAAGCGUUAUCCGGAUUUACUGGGUGUAAAGGGAGCGCAGACGGCAUGGCAAGCCAGAUGUGAAAGGCAGGGGCUCAACUCCUGGACUGCAUUUGGAACUGUCAAGCUAGAGUAUCGGAGAGGUAAGUGGAAUUCCUAGUGUAGCGGUGAAAUGCGUAGAUAUUAGGAGGAACACCAGUGGCGAAGGCGGCUUACUGGACGAUAACUGACGUUGAGGCUCGAAAGCGUGGGGAGCAAACAGGAUUAGAUACCCUGGUA